UGGAGAAAUGGCUGAGUGGUUUAAAGCGACCGAUUGCUAAUCUGUUGUAUUAUUAUUUCAUUAAUACCGAGGGUUCAAAUCCCUCUUUCUCCGU
This 94-nucleotide transfer RNA is filed under the name Derbesia sp. WEST4838. RNAcentral's name for it is "tRNA-Ser". It matches the Rfam family "tRNA". From Rfam's summary of the family: Transfer RNA (tRNA) molecules are approximately 80 nucleotides in length. Their secondary structure includes four short double-helical elements and three loops (D, anti-codon, and T loops). Lineage: Eukaryota; Viridiplantae; Chlorophyta; Ulvophyceae; Bryopsidales; Derbesiaceae. The record is from RNAcentral.